UGGCGGACGGGUGAGUAAUGUCUAGGGAAACUGCCUGAUGGGAGGGGAUAACUACUGAAACGGUAGCUAAUACCGCAUAACGUCGCAAGACCAAAGAGGGGGACCUUGGGCCUCUUGCCAUCGGAUGUGCCCAGAUGGGAUUAGCUAGUAGGUGGGGUAAAGGCUCACCUAGGCGACGAUCCCUAGCUGGUCUGAGAGGAUGACCAGCCACACUGGAACUGAGACACGGUCCAG
Molecule: ribosomal RNA, 234 nt
Filed under: uncultured bacterium
Lineage: Bacteria
Description: partial 16S ribosomal RNA
Rfam family: Bacterial small subunit ribosomal RNA
Source: RNAcentral